Molecule: non-coding RNA, 124 nt
Organism: Hordeum vulgare subsp. vulgare (domesticated barley)
Lineage: Eukaryota; Viridiplantae; Streptophyta; Magnoliopsida; Poales; Poaceae
Source: Rfam
UAAGUACUCUCUUCAUCAGAAAAUAUUUGUCAUAGAAAUGAAUGUAUCUAGAUGUAUUUUAGUUCUAAAUACAUUUUUUUUAUACAUUUAUGCGACAAGUAAUUUCGGAAGGAGGGAGUAGAUU